GCAAUAGUAGUAUAAAAUAGUAUUUCUGUCUUCCAAACAGAAGGUUUCUGUUAGAACUGUUGUA
This 64-nucleotide transfer RNA is filed under the name Meretrix lusoria. RNAcentral describes it as "tRNA-Gly". It matches the Rfam family "tRNA". Rfam says of the family: Transfer RNA (tRNA) molecules are approximately 80 nucleotides in length. The record is from RNAcentral. Lineage: Eukaryota; Metazoa; Mollusca; Bivalvia; Venerida; Veneridae. RNAcentral also lists the same sequence under 1 other name.